UGAAUGUGGUGUCGAGUUUAUGAAGGU
This 27-nucleotide non-coding RNA is filed under the name Rattus norvegicus (Norway rat). The record is from RNAcentral. Lineage: Eukaryota; Metazoa; Chordata; Mammalia; Rodentia; Muridae.